UACGUAGGGAGCAAGCGUUGUCCGGAAUCAUUGGGCGUAAAGCGCGCGUAGGCGGCCCGGUAAGUCCGUCGUGAAAUCUCUCGGCUCAACCGAGAAACGUCGGCUGAUACUGCCGUUCUUGAGGGAUGCAGAGGAGACUGGAAUUCCCGGUGUAGCGGUGAAAUGUGUAGAGAUCGGGAGGAACACCGGUGGCGAAGGCGGGUCUCUGGGCAUUUCCUGACGCUGAGGCGCGAAAGCGUGGGGAGCAAACGGG
Molecule: ribosomal RNA, 253 nt
Filed under: uncultured bacterium
Lineage: Bacteria
Description: partial 16S ribosomal RNA
Rfam family: Bacterial small subunit ribosomal RNA
Source: RNAcentral